Molecule: ribosomal RNA, 359 nt
Filed under: uncultured Streptococcus sp.
Lineage: Bacteria; Bacillati; Bacillota; Bacilli; Lactobacillales; Streptococcaceae
Description: bacterial SSU rRNA
Rfam family: Bacterial small subunit ribosomal RNA
Source: RNAcentral
CUUCGGUACAUCGGUGACAGGUGGUGCAUGGUUGUCGUCAGCUCGUGUCGUGAGAUGUGGUAAGUCCGCAACGAGCGCAACCCCUAUUGUUAGUUGCCAUCAUUCAGUUGGGCACUCUAGCGAGACUGCCGGUAAUAAACCGGAGGAAGGUGGGGAUGACGUCAAAUCAUCAUGCCCCUUAUGACCUGGGCUACACACGUGCUACAAUGGUUGGUACAACGAGUUGCGAGUCGGUGACGGCGAGCUAAUCUCUUAAAGCCAAUCUCAGUUCGGAUUGUAGGCUGCAACUCGCCUACAUGAAGUCGGAAUCGCUAGUAAUCGCGGAUCAGCACGCCGCGGUGAAUACGUUCCCGGGCCUU